RNAcentral lists this ribosomal RNA (734 nucleotides) under uncultured bacterium. RNAcentral's name for it is "bacterial SSU rRNA". It matches the Rfam family "Bacterial small subunit ribosomal RNA", at positions 94 to 823 of the family's 1533-position model. The record is from RNAcentral.
AGCGGCGGACGGGUGAGUAAUGCCUAGGAAUCUGCCUGGUAGUGGGGGAUAACGUUCGGAAACGGACGCUAAUACCGCAUACGUCCUACGGGAGAAAGCAGGGGACCUUCGGGCCUUGCGCUAUCAGAUGAGCCUAGGUCGGAUUAGCUAGUUGGUGGGGUAAUGGCUCACCAAGGCGACGAUCCGUAACUGGUCUGAGAGGAUGAUCAGUCACACUGGAACUGAGACACGGUCCAGACUCCUACGGGAGGCAGCAGUGGGGAAUAUUGGACAACGGGCGAAAGCCUGAUCCAGCCAUGCCGCGUGUGUGGAGAAGGUCUUCGGAUUGUAAAGCACUUUAAGUUGGGAGGAAGGGCAGUAAAUUAAUACUUUGCUGUUUUGACGUUACCGACAGAAUAAGCACCGGCUAACUCUGUGCCAGCAGCCGCGGUAAUACAGAGGGUGCAAGCGUUAAUCGGAAUUACUGGGCGUAAAGCGCGCGUAGGUGGUUCGUUAAGUUGGAUGUGAAAUCCCCGGGCUCAACCUGGGAACUGCAUUCAAAACUGACGAGCUAGAGUAUGGUAGAGGGUGGUGGAAUUUCCUGUGUAGCGGUGAAAUGCGUAGAUAUAGGAAGGAACACCAGUGGCGAAGGCGACCACCUGGACUGAUACUGACACUGAGGUGCGAAAGCGUGGGGGAGCAAACAGGAUUAGAUACCCUGGUAGUCCACGCCGUGAACGAUGUCAACUAGCCGU